Long non-coding RNA from Xenopus tropicalis (tropical clawed frog), 1350 nucleotides. RefSeq lists it as uncharacterized. NCBI's taxonomy places the organism in Eukaryota, Metazoa, Chordata, Amphibia, Anura, Pipidae. The record is from RefSeq and is a predicted model, not a curated record. The transcript is spliced from 2 exons.
UGAGGUCCCAAUCUCUGUUGGGGGGUGGGCUCAGGAUUUCCAUACUCUUGCUUCAGGAGGACACAAAGGAUAACUUAGUAAGGUCUCCUCCACAAGGUCUGUAACUCAAGUGGCUUGGAACAUUGAUUCAGGAGUCAAAGCCAGGAGUGAAUAUAAACAGCCAAAAAAACAAUUUCAAGCUUGCUUACAUUUACAAACAACAAUAAACUAUUAAGGGCCGUGGCAGACGGGGAGAUUAGUCCCUUGUCGCGGGUGACUAAUCUCCCCGAGAUGCCAUCCCACCGGCUACAAUGUAAAUCGCAGGUGAGAUGGCAUAGGCGGCGCCAAAAUUGCCAAAGUUCCCUUGCAAGGCAACUUUGGCGAUUUCGGCAAAUCGCUGCAUAUGCCAUCCUACCUGCGAUUUACAUUCUAGCUGGUGUGAUGGCAUCUCGGGGAGAUUAAUCUCCCCGUCUGUCACGGCCCUAACACUUUUCAAUUAAUGUAUAUUUGGAAAGUUUAAAAUGCAUUUUGCUUUACUGUGCUAAAUAGUUUUUGGAUGGAGGGUCUUUUAAAAAGGAGAUUCUUCAAUUACGAUCCUCCCUGCUUUCUUUUCUUGCUUUUAUAACACAACACAACAGCUCUAAAUAUAGUGAUGUUAGAUAUCAAGAUAGUUGACCAGGUGCUAGUUGGUAUGAUUCCCAUUCUAUCCUAUUGCAUCUGUAAUUAUGGGGUUUCUUCUUCAGAGAACUUAAAAGAACCAGAAGGGUUUAAUGAAAGGUUUACUUUCCCUUGACAUCACAAGAUUAUAUACUGAAGUUACAAGAUAUACAAGAUAUUGUUUUAUGCAUAUGAUAGAAUAGUAAAUUUUUCCAUGUUACUGAACAUAAGAGUGGCUUGGAUGACUGCUUGAACAAGCAUAAUAUCCAAGGCUAUUGUGUUCUUAAGAUCUACAGUUAGUUUAGUAUUGACACUAGUAUAUAUGUGAGCAUAUAGAUAGGUCUGUAUAAAUAUGUGUAUACAGUAAAUGCACUGGGGUUGGUUUGGAGGGAUUGAACUUGAUGGUCUUUUUUCAGUUUUUACAUAGCUAUCUAACUAGUAAGCUAGAAGCAUGCAGAAAAUAAAAACAUGUGCCCUUUAAAUAGGAUGAGAGUUGCUCUUACCUAAUGUUUUGAUAAAUUGCACUGAUUUUAUUCCUGAUAUAAAAACUCCUUUUCCGUAGCUGCCUACAGUUUUGACAACAGAGAUUACCACUUUGGAGCGGAUAUGCAAACACUCACCAUACAACUAAUUGGGAAGGAGACGGAUGGAGAUAGUUUAUGUUAUGGAAUUUGGUCGAACUGUGCAUUCUGUAUGCAAAUUCCAUUUUAAUUU